AGGGCAGAAGAAGACCAUUGAAGGCCCAGUUUCAAGAAGAGGAUCCUGCUCCCACUUUCAUAGCGGUAUCCCUGUUUAGUUUAUGUACUGAGAAAGUAUUGUGCUUUAAUUUUCAUUUUUUUUCUGAGCAAAGUUAACACAAAGGCAUGUAUCACUUGAUUUGUAUCACUUUAGAACAUGCCAUCAGAAGAAAGACUGGAAGGAAGAUACAUCUUUCAAGGGUCACAGUCCUAGUGUUCCUGAGAUGCUCCAAGCUACGUGCAUUGUCUGAGGAGCCUAAACAAACACCCCAGAGAACAGAGGUUAGCACCGUGGGCUGUCUACCUUCCUGCUCUAAUCUUUACAAUGGUGCCAUUCUUCACCUUUUCUUUCUCUCUUGAACAAUCACUGGCUUAAAUUGUACCUGUUCCAGCAAGACAGGUUUGCAGGUUUCAUAAGCCUUCAUGACAGUAAG
Molecule: long non-coding RNA, 454 nt
Filed under: Fukomys damarensis (Damara mole-rat)
Lineage: Eukaryota; Metazoa; Chordata; Mammalia; Rodentia; Bathyergidae
Description: lncRNA (ENSFDAG00000032341.1)
Source: RNAcentral